RNAcentral lists this ribosomal RNA (836 nucleotides) under Simocybe filopes. RNAcentral's name for it is "eukaryotic LSU rRNA". It matches the Rfam family "Eukaryotic large subunit ribosomal RNA", at positions 92 to 916 of the family's 3401-position model. The record is from RNAcentral. Lineage: Eukaryota; Fungi; Basidiomycota; Agaricomycetes; Agaricales; Crepidotaceae.
AGUGAAGCGGGAAAAGCUCAAAUUUAAAAUCUGGCGGUCUUUGGCUGUCCGAGUUGUAAUCUAGAGAAGUGUUACCCGCGUUGGACCGUGUACAAGUCUCCUGGAAUGGAGCGUCAUAGAGGGUGAGAAUCCCGUCUUUGACACGGACUGCCAGGGCUUUGUGGUGCGCUCUCAAAGAGUCGAGUUGUUUGGGAAUGCAGCUCAAAAUGGGUGGUAAAUGCCAUCUAAAGCUAAAUAUAGGCGAGAGACCGAUAGCGAACAAGUACCGUGAGGGAAAGAUGAAAAGAACUUUGGAAAGAGAGUUAAACAGUACGUGAAAUUGCUGAAAGGGAAACGCUUGAAGUCAGUCACGCUGCGGAGAAUCAACCUUGCUUUUGCUUGGUGUACUUUUCUGUUGGCGGGUCAGCAUCAGUUUUGAUCGUUGGAUAAAGUCUAUGGAAAUGUGGCACCUUCGGGUGUGUUAUAGUCUGUAGUCGCAUACAACGGUUGGGACUGAGGAACUCAGCGCGCCGCAAGGCCAGGUUUCGACCAUGUUCGCGCUUAGGAUGCUGGCAUAAUGGCUUUAAUCGACCCGUCUUGAAACACGGACCAAGGAGUCUAACAUGCCUGCGAGUGUUUGGGUGGAAAACCCGAGCGCGUAAUGAAAGUGAAAGUUGAGAUCCCUGUCGUGGGGAGCAUCGACGCCCGGACCAGACCUUCUGUGACGGAUCCGCGGUAGAGCAUGUAUGUUGGGACCCGAAAGAUGGUGAACUAUGCCUGAAUAGGGUGAAGCCAGANGAAACUCUGGUGGANGCUCGUAGCGAUUCUGACGUGCAAAUCGAUCGUCAAAUUUGGGU